UUUGCAUCGAUGAAGAACGCAGCUAACUGCGCGUCAUAGUGUGAACUGCAGGACACAUUUGAACAUCGACAUUUCGAACGCACAUUGCGGUCCGUGGAGAAAUAUCCAGGACCACUCCUGUCUGAGGGCCGGCUGUUAAAAUAUAAAAAUCACACUGUUCACAAUUAAAAUUAAUUGUGAAGAAUUGACGGGUUCCGUUAUGAUUUCGUUUUAAACGACGUUCUCACACGGUCCGUUUAAAUAUAAUUCGAUAACCGAUCGUCUAUAUAGUAUGCGUAUAUAAUUGAAACGCGUUACAACAACACAAAACGAUCGGGCGUCCCUCGGACGCGCGACUCUUCGACGUAAAAAAUCGACAGAGGGCAUGCGCGUCUUUAGACGGUGACGUUUACCGUAUCGUUGUUGUAGUAACGUAUAUAUACAUAUAUAAAUAGACAUAUUCGGGUAGGCGGACUCGACGUCCGAAGAGCGCAUCGAUGCUACGUUGCUCUCUCGUUUAUCAACGAGACGAGUCAACGGAGUGUCGUUGAGCUGACGGAUAUCGCGUCUGCCUCGAUUUUUAUCGUUGGCCUCAGAUCAGGGAGGAUCACCCGCCGAAUUUAAGCAUAUC
RNAcentral lists this ribosomal RNA (610 nucleotides) under Papilio dardanus meseres. RNAcentral's name for it is "eukaryotic LSU rRNA". The stretch from base 2 to 131 matches the Rfam family "5.8S ribosomal RNA", at positions 28 to 154 of the family's 154-position model. Lineage: Eukaryota; Metazoa; Arthropoda; Insecta; Lepidoptera; Papilionidae. The record is from RNAcentral.